RNAcentral lists this long non-coding RNA (566 nucleotides) under Rattus norvegicus (Norway rat). RNAcentral's name for it is "long non-coding RNA NONRATT022999". Lineage: Eukaryota; Metazoa; Chordata; Mammalia; Rodentia; Muridae. The record is from RNAcentral.
GCACAUGAGUACAGGUACCUACAAAGGCCAAAGGGAGCAUAUGGCACCUUGAGAUGGAGUUACUGUGUUAAAGUAUCUUUUACUCACCUGAUGUAAUUGUCAUCUCCAAGACUUCUUGCCUCUGUCUGCUAACCUAGGCCUAGUCCUUCGAGUGGCUAGCCUCAGUAACUCUAACCUAGACUUAGAAUGUUUUCAGCCUUUGAGACUUAUUGCUGAGUAAGCUGACUCUUUCAAGCUCUUUCUGAACUCUGGCUGGCUGGUCGAGUCAGCUGUUGUGGCUCAAACUCCUCUCUCAGCUGACUGAUUCUAUCUGACUUCUCUUGGCUUCUCCUGAAUUGUUCUUCUGUGAAACGAUGAGAAAAGGAACUACUGAAACUCCUGACGUCAACAAUGUUGUAGUGUAUAUCUCACCUAUGGAUCGCUCUGAUUUUUGAAAGGCUGCCAAAGACGUUCAGUGGGAGAACGGACAUAUUUCCAACUAAUGGUUCUGGGAAGACAGGUUGAUGUACCUGAGUCCUUCCAUUACUUACAUCAUGGAUAAAAAUUAACUCAAAGUACAUCAAAAA